GACGAACGCUGGCGGCGUGCUUAACACAUGCAAGUCGAACGGUAAGGCCCUUCGGGGUACACGAGUGGCGAACGGGUGAGUAACACGUGGGUGAUCUGCCCUGCACUUCGGGAUAAGCCUGGGAAACUGGGUCUAAUACCGGAUAGGACUCCUGCCUGCAUGGGUGGGGGUGGAAAGCUUUUGCGGUGUGGGAUGGGCCCGCGGCCUAUCAGCUUGUUGGUGGGGUGAUGGCCUACCAAGGCGACGACGGGUAGCCGGCCUGAGAGGGUGACCGGCAACACUGGGACUGGGAUACGGCCCAGAGUACUACGGGAGGGAGCAGUGGGGAAGAUUGCACAAGGGGCGCAAGCCUGAUGCAGCUACGCCGCGUGAGGGAUGACGGCCUUCGGGUUGUAAACCUCUUUCAGCACAGACGAAGCGCAAGUGACGGUAUGUGCAGAAGAAGGACCGGCCAACUACGUGCCAGCCGCCGCGGUAA
This 478-nucleotide ribosomal RNA is filed under the name uncultured bacterium. RNAcentral's name for it is "partial 16S ribosomal RNA". It matches the Rfam family "Bacterial small subunit ribosomal RNA", at positions 28 to 523 of the family's 1533-position model. The record is from RNAcentral.